This 492-nucleotide ribosomal RNA is filed under the name uncultured bacterium. RNAcentral's name for it is "partial 16S ribosomal RNA". It matches the Rfam family "Bacterial small subunit ribosomal RNA", at positions 29 to 507 of the family's 1533-position model. The record is from RNAcentral.
AGUGAACGCUGGCGGUAGGCCUAACACAUGCAAGUCGAACGGCAGCACAGUAAGAGCUUGCUCUUACGGGUGGCGAGUGGCGGACGGGUGAGGAAUACAUCGGAAUCUACUUUUUCGUGGGGGCUAACGUAGGGAAACUUACGCCAAUACCGCAUACGACCUACGGGUGAAAGCAGGGGAUCUUCGGAUCUUGCGCGAUUGUAUGAGCCGAUGUCGGAUUAGCUAGUUGGCGGGGUAAAGGCCCACCAAGGCGACGAUCCGUAGCUGGUCUGAGAGGAUGAUCAGCCACACUGGAACUGAGACACGGUCCAGACUCCUACGGGAGGCAGCAGUGGGGAAUAUUGGACAAUGGGCGCAAGCCUGAUCCAGCCAUACCGCGUGGGUGAAGAAGGCCUUCGGGUUGUAAAGCCCUUUUGUUGGGAAAGAAAAGCAGCAGGUUAAUACCCCGCUGUUCUGACGGUACCCAAAGAAUAAGCACCGGCUAACUUCGUG